AACGAACGCUGGCGGCGCGCCUAAUACAUGCAAGUCGAGCGAGAAGGUGUAGCAAUACACUUGUAAAGCGGCGAACGGGUGAGGAAUACAUGGGUAAUCUACCAUCGAGUGGGGAAUAACCAACCGAAAGGUUGGCUAAUACCGCGUACGCCUCCGAGUCUUCGGGUUCGGAGGGAAAGCUGCACUGUGAGUGUAGCGCUCUUUGAUGAGCUCAUGUCCUAUCAGCUUGUUGGUAGGGUAACGGCCUACAAGGCUUUGACGGUAGCUGGUCUGAGAGGACGAUCAGCCACACUGGCACUGCGACACGGGCCAGACUCCUACGGGAGGCAGCAGUAAGGAAUAUUGCGCAAUGGGCGAAAGCCUGACGCAGCGACGCCGCGUGGGGGAUGAAGGUCUUCGGAUUGUAAACCCCUUUCGGGAGGGAAGAUGGAGCGAGCAAUCGUUCGGACGGUACCUCCAGAAGCAGCCACGGCCAACUUCGUGCCAGCAG
RNAcentral lists this ribosomal RNA (490 nucleotides) under uncultured bacterium. Its description in RNAcentral is "bacterial SSU rRNA". It matches the Rfam family "Bacterial small subunit ribosomal RNA", at positions 29 to 514 of the family's 1533-position model. The record is from RNAcentral.